CCAGGACAGAGCAGGUUCACAGGUUCUAGAAUGAAUCUCCUCCUCUCGACCAGGACAAAGCAGGUUCACAGGUUCUAGAAUGAAUCUCCUCCUCUCGACCAGGACAAAGCAGGUUCACAGGUUCUAGAAUGAAUCUCCUCCUCUCGACCAGGACAAAGCAGGUUCACAGGUUCUAGAAUGAAUCUCCUCCUCUCGACCAGGACAGAGCAGGUUCACAGGUUCUAGAAUGAAUCUCCUCCUCUCGA
Long non-coding RNA from Oncorhynchus keta (chum salmon), 245 nucleotides. RefSeq lists it as uncharacterized. The record is from RefSeq and is a predicted model, not a curated record. Lineage: Eukaryota; Metazoa; Chordata; Actinopteri; Salmoniformes; Salmonidae. The transcript is spliced from 3 exons.